AACGUGGAACCUGAAACUAUUGUCUGGUGGGCUGGUGGCUGAUUUUCAUUCAAUUGGGCUGGUACACCUCUGUUUUGACUCCCAUACACCAAGAAUCAAGGGCGCCUGCAUCCGUGGGAGUAAGACUCUCCGGCUUUGAAGGAGGAGACAAAGCCGAAGGGCAGACACAUUGCCUUCUGUUCAUGCUGCUUGAUGUUGAAACACCAACCACUCACCAGUCAUUUACUCUCUCACUUGCUCAUUGGAUCAUGUGCACCACCAUAGUUAGAAACCUUUAUGUCACAGUCAGCGCAAUGCAUUGGGAUUUUUUUUGCUAUGCACAGAAUACGAAGGUUAUAUUAUCUCUCUAUAUUUUGAAUGGGAGUCAUUGAAGCAUAGGCAAGGUACUUGUAUUUGGAUCUGGCAUAAUUACAAUCAUCCUGUCAUCAUCAGUUUCACUCCUCUGGCUGCCCCUUGUGUGUGUGUGUCCACUAAUGCGUUCAGCAUUGCAACUGCUGCUGCCAAAUGCUGAGGCAGCAGUAUACAUAGCUGGUUCAGUUUGUGCAGCAUUCGUUGCCAACAUAGAUGGUCACUCUGAUAAAACUGUCACCUUCAAUGGGAGGAUGCUCAGGUUUUGAGACCGAACCUAUAUGUACCACCAAAACAAUAUCCUAAUUGCAAGGAAGGUGACCUUCCUCUCAUCAUCGCGAUUGACUAGCAACCAAUGGCCCUGAUAGGUGUUAUGCAAGUGUAGGGCGACAUCACUAAUGCUCGGACAAUAG
Long non-coding RNA from Zea mays, 761 nucleotides. RefSeq lists it as uncharacterized. The transcript is spliced from 5 exons. The record is from RefSeq and is a predicted model, not a curated record. NCBI's taxonomy places the organism in Eukaryota, Viridiplantae, Streptophyta, Magnoliopsida, Poales, Poaceae.